This 72-nucleotide transfer RNA is filed under the name Dipodomys ordii (Ord's kangaroo rat). It matches the Rfam family "tRNA". From Rfam's summary of the family: Transfer RNA (tRNA) molecules are approximately 80 nucleotides in length. Their secondary structure includes four short double-helical elements and three loops (D, anti-codon, and T loops). Lineage: Eukaryota; Metazoa; Chordata; Mammalia; Rodentia; Heteromyidae. The record is from Rfam by way of RNAcentral.
GAGAAGGUGGCUCAGUGGUAGAGUGCUUGCUUUGCAUGCAUGAGGCCUCGGGUUCGAUUCCUCAUCACCACA